Molecule: ribosomal RNA, 492 nt
Filed under: uncultured bacterium
Lineage: Bacteria
Description: partial 16S ribosomal RNA
Rfam family: Bacterial small subunit ribosomal RNA
Source: RNAcentral
AGUGAACGCUGGCGGUAGGCCUAACACAUGCAAGUCGAACGGCAGCACAAUAAGAGCUUGCUCUUACGGGUGGCGAGUGGCGGACGGGUGAGGAAUACAUCGGAAUCUACUUUUUCGUGGGGGAUAACGUAGGGAAACUUACGCUAAUACCGCAUACGACCUACGGGUGAAAGCAGGGGAUCUUCGGACCUUGCGCGAUUGAAUGAGCCGAUGUCGGAUUAGCUAGUUGGCGGGGUAAAGGCCCACCAAGGCGACGAUCCGUAGCUGGUCUGAGAGGAUGAUCAGCCACACUGGAACUGAGACACGGUCCAGACUCCUACGGGAGGCAGCAGUGGGGAAUAUUGGACAAUGGGCGCAAGCCUGAUCCAGCCAUACCGCGUGGGUGAAGAAGGCCUUCGGGUUGUAAAGACCUUUUGUUGGGAAAGAAAAGCAGCAGGUUAAUACCCCGCUGUUCUGACGGUACCCAAAGAAUAAGCACCGGCUAACUUCGUG